CUGUGUGCCUUUCCUACGCCCGUGGAAGCAAUAACUUUCUAGAAACCUGAAGCUUGAACCAGAUGAAGAAAGCUAAAGAUCCACACCAAAGUCCCACAUCAUCACCAGCAGCACCAGCACUAGCCUCUGUGCCAUUGUAUCACCCUUCAUGUCAAAACAGACUGAAGAUUGGACAAAGGGAGCACCCCUCCACCUGCAGACUUCGAGGCACCUGACUGACCACAGUAAUGAGCACAGCCCCAGUCAGAAAAUUAAAAAAAAAUAAAAAAAAAACCUCCCGUAUCUUUGUAAUCAUGCUUCAGCAUGUUUUUUUUUUCUCAGUGAAACCCAUCCUCCAGAAUGGUUUAACAACCUCAACACAACACAAUAUUUUUUGCUAAGGAAAGCCAUAAUA
Long non-coding RNA from Scleropages formosus (Asian bonytongue), 394 nucleotides. RefSeq lists it as uncharacterized. NCBI's taxonomy places the organism in Eukaryota, Metazoa, Chordata, Actinopteri, Osteoglossiformes, Osteoglossidae. The record is from RefSeq and is a predicted model, not a curated record. The transcript is spliced from 3 exons.